AACGUCUCAAAUUCCCUUUCUCCU
RNAcentral lists this non-coding RNA (24 nucleotides) under Arabidopsis thaliana (thale cress). The record is from RNAcentral. Lineage: Eukaryota; Viridiplantae; Streptophyta; Magnoliopsida; Brassicales; Brassicaceae.